RNAcentral lists this ribosomal RNA (400 nucleotides) under uncultured bacterium. Its description in RNAcentral is "bacterial SSU rRNA". It matches the Rfam family "Bacterial small subunit ribosomal RNA", at positions 975 to 1375 of the family's 1533-position model. The record is from RNAcentral.
CAAGGCUUGACAUACACCGGAAACGGCCAGAGAUGGUCGCCCCCUUGUGGUCGGUGUACAGGUGGUGCAUGGUUGUCGUCAGCUCGUGUCGUGAGAUGUUGGGUUAAGUCCCGCAACGAGCGCAACCCUCGUUCUAUGUUGCCAGCGGGUUAUGCCGGGGACUCAUAGGAGACUGCCGGGGUCAACUCGGAGGAAGGUGGGGAUGACGUCAAAUCAUCAUGCCCCUUAUGUCUUGGGCUUCACGCAUGCUACAAUGGCCGGUACAAAGGGCUGCGAUACCGUAAGGUGGAGCGAAUCCCAAAAAGCCGGUCUCAGUUCGGAUUGAGGUCUGCAACUCGACCUCAUGAAGUCGGAGUCGCUAGUAAUCGCAGAUCAGCAACGCUGCGGUGAAUACGUUCCC